This 470-nucleotide ribosomal RNA is filed under the name uncultured bacterium. RNAcentral's name for it is "bacterial SSU rRNA". It matches the Rfam family "Bacterial small subunit ribosomal RNA", at positions 355 to 825 of the family's 1533-position model. The record is from RNAcentral.
UGGGGAAUAUUGGGCAAUGGGCGAAAGCCUGACCCAGCAACGCCGCGUGAAGGACGAAAUCCCUCGGGAUGUAAACUUCGUAGUCAGGGGAAGAAAGUCUUGGAUUGAAUACAUCCGAGGCCUGACGGUACCCUGGGUAAGCCACGGCUAACUACGUGCCAGCAGCCGCGGUACUACGUAGGUGGCAAGCGUUGUUCGGAAUUACUGGGCGUAAAGCGUGCGCAGGCGGUUAUGCAAGACAGAUGUGAAAUCCCCGGGCUCAACCUGGGAACUGCAUUUGUGACUGUAUAGCUAGAGUACGGGAGAGGGAUGCGGAAUUCCAGGUGUAGCGGUGAAAUGCGUAGAUAUCGGGAGGAACACCUGUGGCGAAGGCGGCCACCUGGUUGGAUACUGACGCUGAGACGCGAAAGCGUGGGGAGCAAACAGGAUUAGAUACCCUUGUAGUCCCUGAGCGGGCUGGCAAGGCGCAU